CUUUUCUUUUGUUUGUUAUUUUCUUUGAAUAAGAGGAUUGAGAGUUUUUGAAUAUUGUGAAAUAAAUUAUGGAAUGGAAAUGUGAUUGGUAUUAUUUGAGAAGAAGAAAGAUUGAAUGCUGAAAUCUGAUUGUAGUUCAGCAGAGAGAAUGAGUAUGUGUUUGUGUGAAACACCGUAAUGUGAAUGGCAAUUUUGUGUGAAGAAUUCCACUGAUUGGAAUGAGGGUAAUUGUGU
This 234-nucleotide long non-coding RNA is filed under the name Physcomitrium patens. RNAcentral describes it as "long non-coding RNA (PPAT_LNC002950)". Lineage: Eukaryota; Viridiplantae; Streptophyta; Bryopsida; Funariales; Funariaceae. The record is from RNAcentral.